GGUGAGUGUCCUAGAAAUCUAUUCUAGAGUUUUUGAGUGAAGAAGAAGUCAAAAGAGAAGAGAGUUCUCCCUCCAUCUUUCUAUCACUAGUUCCUCCUUCUUCCUACAAUUUCAGAGGAGUCUGAGAGAUCUAUAGGAGGAGAAGAUCAGCCAUCUACAAGUUUCUAAGCGAGCUAGCACUCCCGCAGAAGUUGAUCAGCGUGGUGCUUCGAGUGGAUCAUCUGUAGAGG
RNAcentral lists this long non-coding RNA (230 nucleotides) under Elaeis guineensis (African oil palm). Its description in RNAcentral is "long non-coding RNA (EGUI_LNC048659)". Lineage: Eukaryota; Viridiplantae; Streptophyta; Magnoliopsida; Arecales; Arecaceae. The record is from RNAcentral.